UAGGGAAUCUUCGGCAAUGGACGGAAGUCUGACCGAGCAACGCCGCGUGAGUGAAGAAGGUUUUCGGAUCGUAAAGCUCUGUUGUAAGAGAAGAACGAGUGUGAGAGUGGAAAGUUCACACUGUGACGGUAUCUUACCAGAAAGGGACGGCUAACUACGUGCCAGCAGCCGCGGUAAUACGUAGGUCCCGAGCGUUGUCCGGAUUUAUUGGGCGUAAAGCGAGCGCAGGCGGUUAGAUAAGUCUGAAGUUAAAGGCUGUGGCUUAACCAUAGUAGGCUUUGGAAACUGUUUAACUUGAGUGCAAGAGGGGAGAGUGGAAUUCCAUGUGUAGCGGUGAAAUGCGUAGAUAUAUGGAGGAACACCGGUGGCGAAAGCGGCUCUCUGGCUUGUAACUGACGCUGAGGCUCGAAAGCGUGGGGAGCAAACAGGAUUAGAUACCCUGGUAGUCCACGCUGUGAACGAUGAGUGCUAGGUGUUAGACCCUUUCCGGGGUUUAGUGCCGUAGCUAACGCAUUAAGCACUCCGCCUGGGGAGUGCGACCGCAAGGUUG
This 550-nucleotide ribosomal RNA is filed under the name uncultured bacterium. RNAcentral describes it as "bacterial SSU rRNA". It matches the Rfam family "Bacterial small subunit ribosomal RNA", at positions 355 to 896 of the family's 1533-position model. The record is from RNAcentral.